GAGCAGCUGCGAAUGGGAGAACAGCCCUCCACGUACGGGCUCUGGCCACACCGGUUUACAGCCGCGUUCUGGCUACAGGAAGGAAGACCGUCAGGAGUCAGGAAGGACAAUCGCUUCCUCUCACCUAGCAGGGAACUCACGGACGAAGGCGUCGUGGCUGUGAUCCCACACUUCACGGGUGAUACGAUGACCGGUGAUAUCGUCUCUCUGCUCCCACCGUGGGCCUCUCUCUCCGGGCUGGGAGGGCUGGAUGAAUCUGAGCCACUGGCAUGGCCGUCGAGGAAAAGCUUCCGCCUCAGUGAAGAGCAGCUGAGGCUCUCCUGAACUUGCUCCGAGACCUCAUCCAUCCUAUAGUAAUCACCUGGAAGAGGAUUUCAUGGAUUGUACUGAUGCCACAUGAUUGGCUGAUGAGAGAACAGUAUAAACGUGCAGGUGUACAGGUGUUCCUAUUAAAGUUGAUGGUGAAUCUAUAUAUUGCCUUCUUAUAUCAGAAGUACAAAACAGCUGGACAGGCCACACCCACAAACACCAACCAGAGCGACAUCCGUGAACUGCUAUAAAGUUGAAAGUGAUGGUUUGUUACAUCAACAUGUAAGGAAUGUUAACAAAUAAAUAAAAAAAUUUUUUACCCAA
Ictalurus punctatus (channel catfish) is the source of this 633-nucleotide long non-coding RNA. RefSeq lists it as uncharacterized. NCBI's taxonomy places the organism in Eukaryota, Metazoa, Chordata, Actinopteri, Siluriformes, Ictaluridae. The record is from RefSeq and is a predicted model, not a curated record. The transcript has 3 exons.